This 581-nucleotide long non-coding RNA is filed under the name Gouania willdenowi (blunt-snouted clingfish). RNAcentral's name for it is "lncRNA (ENSGWIG00000023813.1)". The record is from RNAcentral. Lineage: Eukaryota; Metazoa; Chordata; Actinopteri; Blenniiformes; Gobiesocidae.
AAACCCCUGGUUUAAACCACAGCAAAGUCCAUUUAGUGUAACAUGGACCCUUUAAUGAAGGAUAAAUGACAUUUUGCAGACACGUGUUGUGGGUCUGAGUCUCUGCUGUGGCUCAGUUCUGAUCUUGUGUCUGCUACAGUGAUAUGAGGCUGUUUGAGGCUCUGCUGUGAACGUUCACGACAGGGUUAUAGGUAUGAGUGGGGGUUUUUAUUUGACCCACAGAAGCAGCAGCUCAAGAGAUUUGGAGCAACAAAUACGUUUCCCUACAGAUGAACAACAAAAGUGGAGAUUUUAAAGAAAUAAGUUCAAACAUGUAGAAAGUUUGAUGUGAGUCAUGAUGAUCAAUAUGAUGAUCAUUUGAUUUAUGGACUACUUUACAGCAGAUUUCAUCACAAUAGAAGAAAUGCUUCUAGGAGUUGUGGAUGCCCAACAAAGAAAAAUGCUGAUGCUUGGUUCAAAAAUAUAUUUAGAGUUUUAACUUUAGCUCUUAAAAAUGUUAGUUUAAUUAAUUUAAGUUAAUGUGGAAUGUUUCCAAAACACAGAGAAAUAAAAGGUUUUAAACCACUUGUGUUUCUAUCUUU